GGUAAGAUGGCUGAGUUUUAAGCGGUGGAUUGUAGCCCCAUAGACAGAAGUUCAAAUCUUCUUCUUACCA
Molecule: transfer RNA, 70 nt
Filed under: Scatophagus argus
Lineage: Eukaryota; Metazoa; Chordata; Actinopteri; Scatophagidae
Description: tRNA-Tyr
Rfam family: tRNA
About the family: Transfer RNA (tRNA) molecules are approximately 80 nucleotides in length. Their secondary structure includes four short double-helical elements and three loops (D, anti-codon, and T loops).
Source: RNAcentral